GGUCGAAAGGGGAAAUUCAUUCGCGUUUCGAUUGUCGAAAUCGAGCAUUAGUAUGACGGUAAACGUUUCGACGUUUGCAUCUUUUGUUCUUUUAAUCGAUAUCGAACGCGUGCACUUUUCCUCUAGUAGGACGUCGCGAUCCGUUGGGUGUCUGUCUAAGGUUUGAGGUGGAGCCCGCGUGAUUUUUUGAUUGCGCGGACCCUCAUUAUCCCGACAGACUCGCUCGACGGUAUAUUGAUGGCGCGGGGCCGCUACUUUAGUUAGCGUUCGGCCCGUAGCAAGCACGUUCUGUGUUUUGACAGUCAUCGGACCUAGUGCCGAUUCUGUCCCGGAACGACUGUUGGUUACGGUGUUCUCGAACAGACCUCG
Molecule: ribosomal RNA, 369 nt
Filed under: Oides maculatus
Lineage: Eukaryota; Metazoa; Arthropoda; Insecta; Coleoptera; Chrysomelidae
Description: eukaryotic LSU rRNA
Source: RNAcentral